Molecule: ribosomal RNA, 253 nt
Filed under: uncultured bacterium
Lineage: Bacteria
Description: partial 16S ribosomal RNA
Rfam family: Bacterial small subunit ribosomal RNA
Source: RNAcentral
UACGAAGGUCCCAAGCGUUGUUCGGAAUCACUGGGCGUAAAGGGAGCGUAGGCGGCGUGGUAAGUCAGAUGUGAAAUCCCGGGGCUCAACCCCGGAACUGCACCCGAUACUGCCAUGCUUGAGGGUUGGAGAGGUGACUGGAAUUCUCGGUGUAGCAGUGAAAUGCGUGGAUAUCGAGAGGAACACUCGUGGCGAAGGCGAGUCACUGGACAACAUCUGACGCUGAGGCUCGAAGGCUAGGGUAGCGAAAGGG